GACGAAGGGGGCUAGCGUUGUUCGGAAUUACUGGGCGUAAAGCGCGUGUAGGCGGUUGUUCAAGUCAGGUGUGAAAGCCUUGAGCUCAACUCAAGAAAUGCACUUGAUACUGGAUGACUAGAGGACCGGAGAGGAUAGUGGAAUUCCCAAUGUAGUGGUGAAAUACGUAGAGAUUGGGAAGAACACCAGUGGCGAAGGCGGCUAUCUGGACGGUUUCUGACGCUAAGACGCGAAAGCGUGGGGAGCAAACAGG
Molecule: ribosomal RNA, 253 nt
Filed under: uncultured bacterium
Lineage: Bacteria
Description: partial 16S ribosomal RNA
Rfam family: Bacterial small subunit ribosomal RNA
Source: RNAcentral